This 473-nucleotide ribosomal RNA is filed under the name uncultured bacterium. Its description in RNAcentral is "SSU rRNA". It matches the Rfam family "Bacterial small subunit ribosomal RNA", at positions 26 to 518 of the family's 1533-position model. The record is from RNAcentral.
AGGACGAACGCUGGCGGCGCGCCUAAAACAUGCAAGUCGAACGAGAAGCCCGGGCUUGCCCGGGUGGACAGUGGCGAACGGGUGAGUAACACGUGAGGAACCUGCCCCGAAGACCGGGACAACACCGGGAAACCGGUGCUAAUACCGGAUGCCUUCACCGGAUCGCAUGGUCUGGUGAAGAAAUGGAUUCCGCUUCGGGAUGGCCUCGCGGCCUAUCAGCUUGUUGGUGAGGUAACGGCCCACCAAGGCAACGACGGGUAGCUGGUCUGAGAGGAUGUCCAGCCACACUGGGACUGAGACACGGCCCAGACUCCUACGGGAGGCAGCAGUUAGGAAUCUUGCGCAAUGGACGAAAGUCUGACGCAGCGACGCCGCGUGCGGGAUGAAUGCCUUCGGGUUGUAAACCGCUUUCAGCAGGGACGAAAUUGACGGUACCUGCAGAAGAGCCCCGGCAACUACGCGCCAGCAGCCGC